ACUGGAAUGAACGGCUAAAUGAAGACUAAACUGUCUCUUGCAGACCACCUAUAAAACUGAUCCCCUAGUCAAAAAGCUAGGAUUUUAACACAAGACGAGAAGACCCUGUGGAGCUUAUAAACCAAGCUCAUAACAUGAUCCUCUGGUUUUUAGUUGGGGCGACUUCGGAGCACAGGAAAUCCUCCGACUAAUCAACCGCCAGAAAAACAUAUCAAACGGUUAUUCCUAGACCCAGUAGCUCAUACUAACUGACUAACGAACCAAGUUACCCCAGGGAUAACAGCGCUAUCCUCUUCUAGAGUCCUUAUCGACAAGAGGGCUUACGACCUCGAUGUUGGAUCAGGACACCCCAAUAGUGUAACCGCUAUUAACG
RNAcentral lists this ribosomal RNA (373 nucleotides) under Acanthodactylus erythrurus. RNAcentral describes it as "partial 16S ribosomal RNA". It matches the Rfam family "Bacterial large subunit ribosomal RNA", at positions 1986 to 2570 of the family's 2925-position model. The record is from RNAcentral. Lineage: Eukaryota; Metazoa; Chordata; Lepidosauria; Squamata; Lacertidae.